UUCACCAGGCAGAGGCCCUGUCCGUCUGGUCUGCAGGCGCUCACUCCAUCAGUGACCCAGGAGUCAGUGCCUAACUCUGUCCACCCCCCACUUCCCUAUCCUGGGCCAGGCGUCUCUAGGAGCCCGAGGGCCUUCCAGCAUGAGGGUGGGUUGUAGAAUAAAUACCCACCUGAACAGCCUGUGCUCACUGUGUGGAGGGGGAAGGUACCUUCCGGAGGAGAGGAUGCCUGCAGGAGAUGCUUUGGGGCUGGGCCUUGAAAAAAUGGAUUUUCUCCAGGCAGAGAAGGAGCAGUAGCGAAUUCCAGGAAGAGCUCCUCUGCCUAUCCGUUUAUUGAGCACUUGCUGUGUGCCAGGCUCUGCAAGAAACGGCUCUGUCCCCACACGGCCUAGUGAGGGAGACAAAUGCCGAAUUGAACAACCCGCAGGGAAAUGUGGUGUUGGCGAAACAAAACACACUCUGGCGGGACCUCGAAGGAGGGAGGACGGGAUACAGGAUUUGGGAAUAACCAGGAGGUGCUCCAGGCAUGCUUGUUGACCGACUUAACAAACUUUGAGGUUUUUCCUACCAAGAUGGGAGCAAGGAGGUGCGAUGUCCCAGGAGCUCGCAGUCUGCUGCUGGUGGCAAGGGGAGUCCGAGUCCCAGCUGCGGGAGUUUGCUCGUGCAGGGCCAGGCUGGGGGCUGUUCAGGCCCCAUCUCCUUAAAGGACAGCUCCAGGCUCUGCCGUUUUACAGAUGCGAAUACUGAGGCCGGAGGGGGCGAGCGGGGUCUGCCCUCCUCGGUGCAGGUUGCCGGCCUCCUCCAGAACCUGUCUCAGCCCUCUCCCUCGGGAGGGCCCCUUCACCCCAACCGCCCCCUCCCCAGCACGCUGCCCCCCACA
Molecule: long non-coding RNA, 878 nt
Organism: Canis lupus familiaris (dog)
Lineage: Eukaryota; Metazoa; Chordata; Mammalia; Carnivora; Canidae
Exons: 4
Source: RefSeq, a predicted model, not a curated record